RNAcentral lists this ribosomal RNA (301 nucleotides) under uncultured bacterium. RNAcentral describes it as "partial 16S ribosomal RNA". It matches the Rfam family "Bacterial small subunit ribosomal RNA", at positions 509 to 807 of the family's 1533-position model. The record is from RNAcentral.
CAGCAGCCGCGGGAAUACGUAGGUGGCAAGCGUUGUCCGGAAUUAUUGGGCGUAAAGGGCUCGCAGGCGGUUUCUUAGGUCUGAUGUGAAAGCCCCCGGCUCAACCGGGGAGGGUCAUUGGAAACUGGGAAACUUGAGUGCAGAAGAGGAGAGUGGAAUUCCACGUGUAGCGGUGAAAUGCGUAGAGAUGUGGAGGAACACCAGUGGCGAAGGCGACUCUCUGGUCUGUAACUGACGCUGAGGAGCGAAAGCGUGGGGAGCGAACAGGAUUAGAUACCCCAGUAGUCCCUGUCUCUUAUAC